GAAGUCUAGAUUUAGGGUCUGUGGU
Molecule: non-coding RNA, 25 nt
Filed under: Mus musculus (house mouse)
Lineage: Eukaryota; Metazoa; Chordata; Mammalia; Rodentia; Muridae
Source: RNAcentral